This 65-nucleotide transfer RNA is filed under the name Chloronia mexicana. RNAcentral's name for it is "tRNA-Trp". Lineage: Eukaryota; Metazoa; Arthropoda; Insecta; Megaloptera; Corydalidae. The record is from RNAcentral.
AAGGCUUUAAGUUAUUCAAACUAUUAGCCUUCAAAGCUAAAAAUAAAUAUUUAAUUUAAGCCUUA